RNAcentral lists this ribosomal RNA (1092 nucleotides) under Triticum aestivum (bread wheat). RNAcentral describes it as "partial small subunit ribosomal RNA". Lineage: Eukaryota; Viridiplantae; Streptophyta; Magnoliopsida; Poales; Poaceae. The record is from RNAcentral.
CGCGCCGACCCAACCCACCGCACCCUAUUUGGUGUCGGUGCGUCGCCCAGCAGAAGAGGUAAGGUUAGACGUAGUCAAGCAGAUUGUCGCCGCCGGCACGACAAGGCCGCGGCCGCUCUACAGAUGGUUACCACAGCUCUAAUUACCCUAAAGACGACGCAGGCCACGCUCCUCGUGAAGGCAGAACGGUAACCUCAGGGUCCUAAGGUACUCGCAGGGUUUGCUGCACAAGCGACGGCGGCCAACACGAGCCGGCGUACACCUACGUCACCACCCGCUCCACACGAGACUUUGGUGGUCGCCGACCUGCGCGUCCCAGUCCCACCCAUUUCGAGGGCUCCUCUCCCUCUACUUAGGUUUGUCCUAAAGUCGAGACCUUAACAGACAGGCACGAAUAUGUCUCUUCUCCCUACCUGGACAACACAUGGGUUCGUAACCAUGUUCGAAACUGAGGAACCUGCUUCGAAUACUUAAGAUAUUAGACAUAAGCACCCUCACGCCUAAACCACAAUCUGAACGGUUCUCGUCUAACUUACAACUUUCCUUCUCUACGUACGUUCUCUAACACACACGAACACGCCCCCUUGGUAACUCCCUUUUGUCGGCGAGCCGGUCUACGCCUACGUUACGAUACUAGUCCAACGGCGCCAGUUUACUGUUCCCCACCAUGUAUCGUCUUGUGUUUCUACUGGUAUUGGUGGGCAACAGCAACUGCACACCUGUCUUUACAUCCCCUUGCAUCAUUAAAGUUUUUUAAAGAUGCGUGUGCGUUCUAGUACCACUACGUAUCGUUGCUCUCCCCUCUCACAACAGAUGCAUGGGAGCAUCUGGCUUCACCUUCGCAACUACGUUGCAUCUCCUUCAUCAGCAUGCAGAAGGGCUAGGCUGGCUAGGUUCAUGGCAAUGAGGCCGUGGAAGCUCAAGAAUCGUGUACAUGUCGAGUUACUGCGAGGGGCCUGAGGCUAGGUCGUUUCGAAGCCCCUACUUAAGGCAGUCGUGCUGCCGCACGACUGCUACUACCACAAGAUGGUUGCGUCCCGAAGCGGAUUCGUGACGUUGCUAUACUAGCUCCACCUUAUACCACCUUCCCCC